AGUGAACGCUGGCGGUAGGCCUAACACAUGCAAGUCGAACGGCAGCACAGUAAGAGCUUGCUCUUACGGGUGGCGAGUGGCGGACGGGUGAGGAAUACAUCGGAAUCUACUUUUUCGUGGGGGAUAACGUAGGGAAACUUACGCUAAUACCGCAUACGACCUACGGGUGAAAGCAGGGCUCUUCGGACCUUGCGCGAUUGAAUGAGCCGAUGUCGGAUUAGCUAGUUGGCGGGGUAAAGGCCCACCAAGGCGACGAUCCGUAGCUGGUCUGAGAGGAUGAUCAGCCACACUGGAACUGAGACACGGUCCAGACUCCUACGGGAGGCAGCAGUGGGGAAUAUUGGACAAUGGGCGCAAGCCUGAUCCAGCCAUACCGCGUGGGUGAAGAAGGCCUUCGGGUUGUAAAGCCCUUUUGUUGGGAAAGAAAAGCAGCAGGUUAAUACCCCGCUGUUCUGACGGUACCCAAAGAAUAAGCACCGGCUAACUUCGUG
This 491-nucleotide ribosomal RNA is filed under the name uncultured bacterium. RNAcentral's name for it is "partial 16S ribosomal RNA". It matches the Rfam family "Bacterial small subunit ribosomal RNA", at positions 29 to 507 of the family's 1533-position model. The record is from RNAcentral.